CAAGACUGUAAUAUUUGCUGAUGGUUGGCAUUGUGACAAAAAGGAAUUCAAUAGAUUACAUACAGCCUUUAUCGUGAACUCUGGGAAGAAGCAAAGCCAAGCUUACAAUGCAAAGCUACCUUUGAUGAAGGGGCCACUUAAUGAGAAGGAAGGACUCACUGGAGAAGAGCCUAAUGCUCGGAAAAAUUGAGGGCAAAAGAAGGAGGGGAUGACAGAGAACGAAGUGGCUGGAUAGAGUCACUGAAGCAGUAGGCGUGAGAUUAAAUAUCCACUCCAGAGGAUGAUAGAGGACAGGAAACCCUGGAGGAACGUCGUCCAUGGGAUCCUGAUAGGUUGGACACAAAUUCACAAAUUUUAUGGGCAACAACAACAAUAACAACAACAACAAAUUCUAUGGGCAAUGGAGUCAUAACAGUUGGAGCUAUCAAAUUAUCAUUUUUUCCUUUGGAACAAAGGAUAUGCUAUAUGAAAGCAAACAAUUCUUCCAUUGUUUAGGGGGGAGAAUGGCAAAAUUUGAAUAGACCAAAAUAAAUAAAUAAAAAUCAGAUAGCUUGAGGAAGAGACAACAUUCACAAAUAAAAGCACCAUUUAAGUAAAGAUUCACAUGAAUCAAGAGCCAAUUCUACAGUGUAUUGUGCCAUGUAAAAUAGUGGACAAUAUCACACACUGUUUUUCAAGAAGGCAAAGAUAUCACUGAAUUGUGUUAUUGUUGAAGAAUAAUAUUUUGUCUUAAGCUAAGUAUUUUAUUUAAAGUGGAGUUAUACUUGAGAUGGACUUGACCUGAUCAAUAUUGUGAGAUGAUAUUCUUCAGAAUUCAGAUGGAGAAAUCAUAAGGCAAUAUUUCAAUCUUCUUUUUUUUUUUUUUUGUUCUGUAGGGAAAGGAAUAUGGAAUUCCAAGUGUCUACAGUUCAGCCUUUUAAUAUAUAGAGGGGAAAAUUAUGGAGCCAUGUAGUAUUUUUUCAGCUGCUUUCAGAAAUAAUAAGACAGAAUUAUAUGACAUUUAUUUUCUUAAUUAUGUAUAUGCAGUUUUGAUUUCCAUG
Ahaetulla prasina is the source of this 1040-nucleotide long non-coding RNA. RefSeq lists it as uncharacterized. The transcript is spliced from 3 exons. NCBI's taxonomy places the organism in Eukaryota, Metazoa, Chordata, Lepidosauria, Squamata, Colubridae. The record is from RefSeq and is a predicted model, not a curated record.